AUUGAACGCUGGCGGCAUGCUUUACACAUGCAAGUCGAACGGCAGCGCGGUCUUCGGCCUGGCGGCGAGUGGCGAACUGGUGCGUAAUACAUCGUAACGUGCCCAGUAGUGGGCUACAGCGCUUGGCAAGCCGGAUUAAUACCGCAUGCGACCGUAGGUGGAAAGCGGGGGAUCUUCGGACCUCGCGCUAUUGGAGCGGCCGAUGGCAGAUUCGCUAGUUGGUGGGGUAAAGGCCUACCAAGGCGACGAUCUGUAGCUGGUCUGAGAGGACGACCAGCGCCACUGCGCCUGAGACACGGCCCAGAGGCCUACGCGGCCACGCAGUUGCCAGUUUUGGACAAUGGGCGAAAGCCUGAUCCAGCAAUGCCGCGUGUGUGAUGAAGCAGGUCGGGUUGUAAAGCACUUUUGGCGGGAACGAAAAUGACUGUGCCAAUACCACGGUUCGAUGACGGUACCCGCAGAAUAAGCACCGGCUAACUACGUG
Molecule: ribosomal RNA, 484 nt
Filed under: uncultured bacterium
Lineage: Bacteria
Description: partial 16S ribosomal RNA
Rfam family: Bacterial small subunit ribosomal RNA
Source: RNAcentral